GGAGUAUUACGGAACCGGGUGAUAAUUAGGCGGCUGGGGUCUGGGCAGCUGGUGUCUGCGUGCGGCCAGGCCGGGCCUUUACGUGGGGUCCGGGGCCUGGGCGUGAGAGCGACGCCGGCCGGCUCUAGCGGGAGGCUUGUGGGAGCCCAGCCCCGGCGGGGUUACUCCGGCAGGGCUGGGGUUGCCCUGGCCUUGGAGUUGCAGUCUGGGGUCACGCGGGUGGCUGAGGAGGCCCUCGGGUCCUGAUUGAAGCCAAAUCCGUGCCUUGGUUGGACAACGCCGAGCGCUUGCGGAGUGCCAGGCUCGGCCCUCGGCACUGCAGCUCCCGCCCGUCCGCGGUGCGUCCUGCCCAUGCUUCCGGGGGUGGAAAGCAAGACCGCACCUGGGCCAGGAUCUACCAUACCCAUUGAUUAACUAUGGAAGACUAUACCAAAAUAGAGAAAAUUGGAGAAGGUACCUAUGGAGUUGUGUAUAAGGGUAGACACAAAACUACAGGUCAAGUGGUAGCCAUGAAGAAAAUCAGACUAGAAAGUGAAGAGGAAGGAGUUCCUAGUACUGCAAUUCGGGAAAUAUCUCUAUUAAAAGAACUUCGUCAUCCAAAUAU
Molecule: long non-coding RNA, 604 nt
Organism: Physeter macrocephalus (sperm whale)
Lineage: Eukaryota; Metazoa; Chordata; Mammalia; Artiodactyla; Physeteridae
Exons: 3
Source: RefSeq, a predicted model, not a curated record